GGGAAAGGCCCGAUUGCUGGGGUUAUGUGAAGGAGAAGAUUGUCCUCUCACGGUUUCCGUCGGUUUCGCUAUCGGAGAAGUUUAUUUCGUUCGUUAUAGUAUGAUUCCUUUAAAGUAGUGUUGUGUACUAGUUUUACAGAAAUAUUUCACGCCACCCCAAAAUAGUCGUAUUUCAUCUAACUACUGAAAACGACUUUGUAUUGUAAUAAAGACGAGAAAGAAGAGAAAAUAUUUGAGGUACUACUAGGUAGGCGACUCAGACUGAGUUUGUCACUUUGUGCAUAACAGAAGCAUGAAAUAAUCUCACACAAAGGGGAGGUUUUCAUUAUGAAAAGAUGGCCACUUCAGCAGCAACCAUCCCCAUCUUUCUUCCCCACUGGGAAAGCAGAGAAAGGAGUGUGCGCUUCCUCUAUCUGGCGGAUAGCUGCUCCUUUCAGAUUACCAACGACUGCAGUGUCAAGGAAUCGAUGGUUCCCUUAUUUCUUGGAGCUGACCUGCUCUCAAAAACUGAUAUUAGGACAGAAAAUCAUCCUAAGUAUCAUGCAAAGUAUGCCAAGAAAGGCUUGGCAACCAAACUGAUUUUCUCCUCUGAAUUUAGGUUCCAUGGACUGAGACUCCCCACUGGAAGUAACAGCCUCUGGUUUUACAGCAUCCAGGGCCUUUUUCGAGUGGCUUUUGAAGUCUACAGCCAGCAAGAGCAGUUGUCAUUGUUGGACACAUUCCAGGACCUGUGGAAGUCACGGAUUAAUGAUGGUCCACUGAAAAUGUGCUAUUACUUAAGUGUCCGACUGAAAUGUCCAGAACCCGAGGACAUUCUGAAGAUCCACAAUACAGAAAUCAAACUCAAGCUGAAGUAUCUUGAAGUCCCAGAAACACAAGUCCAUGACCCCCAAAUGACUGAGAGCAAUAUGGUGACUCCCCAAGAUGCUGUGCCCCCUCCUGGUGACAGCUCAUCAGCAGACCACAAUUAUUGUUGUCCCACAGAUGUGGCCCCUCAGUCAGACUUUCUUUCCAGAAUUGUUCAGAGAAUCAGAAGCUUCUCUGUUCUUAUGGAAGCCUCCACACCAGAUGUUGGGAGAGAGCAGGAGGUGGUCAUGAUCCUGCUGGAACAUGCAGAGCAGUGGUUGAGAAAGGGACUGGAUGAGAGGAGCUUAGCAGACCUUGUGCUGGCACUGCUGGAGACCAAGAUCCAGGGUUCUUGGGAGGGGGAUUCUAUUUACAGCAGUGCUCUACUCCAGACUGUCAGCGCAUGGUUAGGUCGCCAGUUCUUUACUGCCAAUUGCUGCAUCAGCCAGCGGGUAGAGGGCUUCAAGGUGCGCCACAUAGAGAGCAUCUCAGAUCUACCCCCAGCUGAGGAACUAGUGGGUGAGCUGUUCCCAGAGGCCAUGCGGGUACUGCUGCUCAACUGGAUGGGUCUGACUGAGGAUUCAGCUCACUGGAAGCGUCAUAGUGAAUACCCAAUUUUACUCCUCAUUCUAGAGUUUGCCAACCAUAACCUCAUUACUGGUGUAGCACAUGUCCUUUACUCAAGCUUAAUUUGUAAAUAA
Molecule: long non-coding RNA, 1547 nt
Filed under: Scleropages formosus (Asian bonytongue)
Lineage: Eukaryota; Metazoa; Chordata; Actinopteri; Osteoglossiformes; Osteoglossidae
Description: lncRNA (ENSSFOG00015018316.2)
Source: RNAcentral